CUACGUGCCAGCAGCCGCGGUAAUACGGAGGGUGCGAGCGUUAAUCGGAAUAACUGGGCGUAAAGGGCACGCAGGCGGUGACUUAAGUGAGGUGUGAAAGCCCCGGGCUUAACCUGGGAAUUGCAUUUCAUACUGGGUCGCUAGAGUACUUUAGGGAGGGGUAGAAUUCCACGUGUAGCGGUGAAAUGCGUAGAGAUGUGGAGGAAUACCGAAGGCGAAGGCAGCCCCUUGGGAACGUACUGACGCUCAUGUGCGAAAGCGUGGGGAGCAAACAGGAUUAGAUACCCUGGUAGUCCACGCUGUAAACGAUGUCGAUUUGGGGGUUGAACUUUAAGUUUGGCGCCCGUAGCUAACGUGAUAAAUCGACCGCCUGGGGAGUACGGCCGCAAGGUUAAAACUCAAAUGAAUUGACGGGGGCCCGCACAAGCGGUGGAGCAUGUGGUUUAAUUCGAUGCAACGCGAAGAACCUUACCUACUCUUGACAUCCAGA
RNAcentral lists this ribosomal RNA (490 nucleotides) under uncultured bacterium. RNAcentral's name for it is "bacterial SSU rRNA". It matches the Rfam family "Bacterial small subunit ribosomal RNA", at positions 501 to 992 of the family's 1533-position model. The record is from RNAcentral.